RNAcentral lists this ribosomal RNA (393 nucleotides) under uncultured bacterium. RNAcentral's name for it is "bacterial SSU rRNA". It matches the Rfam family "Bacterial small subunit ribosomal RNA", at positions 28 to 415 of the family's 1533-position model. The record is from RNAcentral.
GACGAACGCUGGCGGCGUGCCUAACACAUGCAAGUCGAACGGGACCAGGGGCAACUCUGGUUCAGUGGCGGACGGGUGCGUAACACGUGAGGAACAUGACCUUCGGCGGGGGAGUAGCCGGCCCAACCGGCCGGGUAAGUACCGCGUACGACCUUUCGGGGUACGAUCCCUGGAUGGUGAAAGACAGCAAUGCGCCGAUGGAGUGCCUCGCGGCCUAUCAGCUAGUUGGUGAGGUAACGGCUCACCAAGGCGACGACGGGGUAGCUGGUCUGAGAGGAUGGCCAGCCACAUUGGGACUGAGACACGGCCCAGACUCCUACGGGAGGCAGCAGUGGGGAAUAUUGCGCAAUGGACGAAAGUCUGACGCAGCGACGCCGCGUGUGGGAUGACGGU